Molecule: ribosomal RNA, 365 nt
Filed under: bacterium UASWS0073
Lineage: Bacteria
Description: bacterial SSU rRNA
Rfam family: Bacterial small subunit ribosomal RNA
Source: RNAcentral
UCCUGACGGCUGGGCCGGCAGGACUUAACACAUUGUCAAGUUUCGAGCGGUAGCACAGGGGGAGCUUGCUCCCUGGGUGACGAGACGGCGGACGGACUGAGUAAUGUCUGGGAGACUGCCUGAUGGAGGGCCAGAACUACUCUGAAUCGGGCAGCUACUACCGCUUAACGUUUCAUGACCCCCGAGUGGGACCUUCGGGCCUGUUGCCAUCAUAUGUGCCCAGAUGGGAUUAGCUAGUAGGUGGGGUAAUGGCUCACCUAGGCCACGAUCCCUAGCUGGUCUCAGUGCAGCCAUGCCGCGUGUUGAAAGAAGGCCUUCGGGUUGUAAAGCACUUUCAGGCAGGAGGAAGGUGAUGAGCUUAAUAC